CAUUGCUUGGCGCGCGGAGCUCGUUCAUGUAUCACCACUAACUCAAAUGGAAGGCGUCGGGUCGAAUGUCGCAAGGCGCAUCGGUGCUUGUGUGUGUACGUGACGCUUCGGCGUUAUUUCUCUGUGACCCACUCGUAGACCUCGAGCUGUCCGCCAGCGGCCGCGUGGCUGAUAUUUCGGCGCUGGCCGAUGCGUCCUCGCUGCGAAGGGCAGCGAUACACCGAGCAACUGUUCGCAUUACCAGCUCAGUGUUUGUGCCUCUCUCUCUCGCACAUAGAUGUGAGCGGAAACUCUGGCUUCAACGCGUGUGACGUCCGCCUAAAGACUCGGCGAGUGCGAGAUGCUCCAGCAGCCCGCCCUCCCUGCUGACCUAGUGUCUCCAGCUUAUCUUGAAUAAACCGGGAACCAUCCCUACAAGUGUUCUGCACUCGCUUUAGCGACGCGCGAGUUCUCAUGAGUCUUUACUUGUGUCCCGCGUUAGGUGAAAAAAGACGCUGAUGGCGGCACCGCUUUGCAGUCCUUCUUUCCACUUGCCGCGUCGCUGCCCCUGAGAUUUGUUCGCGUAUCCUCCAUCCGCACUGGCGAACUGAGCGACCUGUGUAAGGGUUCUCCACCCGGAGGAGGUCUUCCUUGACGUCUCCAUCUCCCUCACUCACUCACAAUCCAUCGCCCGCCCACCCAUGCACUAGCUCCUCGUCGUCAUGCUAAGCAGCAAGGAAUUCGCAGUGGGGACACAAAAAUAUACUGCAUGAGAAUCUGUCGCUCCUCAGAAGUGCAAGCGCUUCUCCGAUUUGUCUCUGCUUUUUGGGAGCCCAGCACUGAGAAUCAUGAAUACGAGUAGAGGCAGUUUUUUGCGUGUAUCUGGCGUUUAGAAGAGUCUUCGAACGAUACAUUCCCUGCGUCCCGGUAGCUAGACACAAGUGAACAGUGCGCAUGGUCAUCCUCGGUCUUCGCGUAGCGUGCAGAUUCUCUGGUAUGCAGCAU
Molecule: unclassified non-coding RNA, 984 nt
Filed under: Leishmania donovani
Lineage: Eukaryota; Euglenozoa; Kinetoplastea; Trypanosomatida; Trypanosomatidae
Description: gene:unknown
Source: RNAcentral